This 66-nucleotide transfer RNA is filed under the name Sahlbergotettix salicicola. RNAcentral describes it as "tRNA-Glu". The record is from RNAcentral. Lineage: Eukaryota; Metazoa; Arthropoda; Insecta; Hemiptera; Cicadellidae.
AUUCAUGUAGUUUAUAAAAACACUUUAUUUUCAUUAAAGAAAAGAUAAAUUUAAUAUCCAUGAAUA